This 148-nucleotide ribosomal RNA is filed under the name Glaesserella parasuis. RNAcentral's name for it is "partial 16S ribosomal RNA". It matches the Rfam family "Bacterial small subunit ribosomal RNA", at positions 1 to 142 of the family's 1533-position model. The record is from RNAcentral. Lineage: Bacteria; Pseudomonadati; Pseudomonadota; Gammaproteobacteria; Pasteurellales; Pasteurellaceae.
AAAUUGAAGAGUUUGAUCAUGGCUCAGAUUGAACGCUGGCGGCAGGCUUAACACAUGCAAGUCGAACGGUAGCAGGAAGAAGCUUGCUUCUUUGCUGACGAGUGGCGGACGGGUGAGUAAUGCUUGGGAAUCUGGCUUAUGGAGGGGG